CAGUCAUACCAACGGGAAAUCAACCUUUUGAGCUCGGUCUCGUGGGUUUUGAAGAGUUUCAAAGCCUUCGGAUUCGCGGGAUUGGGAUCUCUCGGUGUACUUUCUCGUACGGUUAGUCAACAUCGGUUUUGAACGUCAUAAAAUGACUGGAGGAAUGUAGCUUCGAUCUCGUAUUGAAGUGUUAUAGCCUUUGGUAGAUGUGAUGUUUGAGACCGAGGAUUGCAACGGAUACCCUUCAGGGCUAUUCGUCUGAUCUCUGAUACGUUGCCCUGAUGUUGAAAGCUUGCUUAUGAUGUUAGGGUAUUACGGUCAAAAGGUUAGAACGAAUUACAUUCGUUAAGGAUGUUGACGUAAUGACUUUAAACGA
Molecule: ribosomal RNA, 367 nt
Filed under: uncultured Glomeraceae
Lineage: Eukaryota; Fungi; Glomeromycota; Glomeromycetes; Glomerales; Glomeraceae
Description: partial large subunit ribosomal RNA
Source: RNAcentral